RNAcentral lists this long non-coding RNA (204 nucleotides) under Physcomitrium patens. Its description in RNAcentral is "long non-coding RNA (PPAT_LNC004940)". Lineage: Eukaryota; Viridiplantae; Streptophyta; Bryopsida; Funariales; Funariaceae. The record is from RNAcentral.
GGAUUAGGUUUAUUAGCCUUUGACCAAUAGCAAAGUGGGAGUGUUAAAGUAAAUGGAGGAUAAGUUAGAAGGUAAAAGAUAUUAUCUUAGAUAAGUUGCUAAUGGUCAAAGGGCAACAAAAUGAUGAAGAAAAGUUACCAAGGUGGUGGCUAGGGUUAUAGGUGGCGGCUAGGGUUUAAAGUGGCGGCUAAGUUAAGAGGAUUC